GUCGAGCGGCGGACGGGUGAGUAAUGCCUAGGAAAUUGCCCUGAUGUGGGGGAUAACCAUUGGAAACGAUGGCUAAUACCGCAUGAUGCCUACGGGCCAAAGAGGGGGACCUUCGGGCCUCUCGCGUCAGGAUAUGCCUAGGUGGGAUUAGCUAGUUGGUGAGGUAAGGGCUCACCAAGGCGACGAUCCCUAGCUGGUCUGAGAGGAUGAUCAGCCACACUGGAACUGAGACACGGUCCAGACUCCUACGGGAGGCAGCAGUGGGGAAUAUUGCACAAUGGGCGCAAGCCUGAUGCAGCCAUGCCGCGUGUGUGAAGAAGGCCUUCGGGUUGUAAAGCACUUUCAGUCGUGAGGAAGGUGGUGUAGUUAAUAGCUGAAUCAUUUGACGUUAGCGACAGAAGAAGCACCGGCUAACUCCGUGCCAGCAGCCGCGGUAAUACGGAGGGUGCGAGCGUUAAUCGGAAUUACUGGGCGUAAAGCGCAUGCAGGUGGUUUGUUAAGUCAGAUGUGAAAGCCCGGGGCUCAACCUCGGAAUAGCAUUUGAAACUGGCAGACUAGAGUACUGUAGAGGGGGGUAGAAUUUCAGGUGUAGCGGUGAAAUGCGUAGAGAUCUGAAGGAAUACCGGUGGCGAAGGCGGCCCCCUGGACAGAUACUGACACUCAGAUGCGAAAGCGUGGGGAGCAAACAGGAUUAGAUACCCUGGUAGUCCACGCCGUAAACGAUGUCUACUUGGAGGUUGUGGCCUUGAGCCGUGGCUUUCGGAGCUAACGCGUUAAGUAGACCGCCUGGGGAGUACGGUCGCAAGAUUAAAACUCAAAUGAAUUGACGGGGGCCCGCACAAGCGGUGGAGCAUGUGGUUUAAUUCGAUGCAACGCGAAGAACCUUACCUACUCUUGACAUCCAGAGAACUUUCCAGAGAUGGAUUGGUGCCUUCGGGAACUCUGAGACAGGUGCUGCAUGGCUGUCGUCAGCUCGUGUUGUGAAAUGUUGGGUUAAGUCCCGCAACGAGCGCAACCCUUAUCCUUGUUUGCCAGCGAGUAAUGUCGGGAACUCCAGGGAGACUGCCGGUGAUAAACCGGAGGAAGGUGGGGACGACGUCAAGUCAUCAUGGCCCUUACGAGUAGGGCUACACACGUGCUACAAUGGCGCAUACAGAGGGCGGCCAACUUGCGAAAGUGAGCGAAUCCCAAAAAGUGCGUCGUAGUCCGGAUUGGAGUCUGCAACUCGACUCCAUGAAGUCGGAAUCGCUAGUAAUCGUGGAUCAGAAUGCCACGGUGAAUACGUUCCCGGGCCUUGUACACACCGCCCGUCACACCAUGGGAGUGGGCUGCAAAAGAAGUAGGUAGUUUAACCUUCGGGGGGACGC
Molecule: ribosomal RNA, 1367 nt
Filed under: marine bacterium 39
Lineage: Bacteria
Description: 16S ribosomal RNA
Rfam family: Bacterial small subunit ribosomal RNA
Source: RNAcentral